Molecule: ribosomal RNA, 1236 nt
Filed under: Triticum aestivum (bread wheat)
Lineage: Eukaryota; Viridiplantae; Streptophyta; Magnoliopsida; Poales; Poaceae
Description: partial small subunit ribosomal RNA
Source: RNAcentral
AUGAUCAAGUGGAGUACAACCUCUAGCACAGGCACCGUACCCAUGGCGCUAUCUCGCGCCGGACAGCUGCGACGAGGACAUGUACGACGGCCACCCGCUCAUCGUCGUCAUCGUCGUCUCCGACCGGGUGCGAUCGCCCACCAUCGCAUCCUUCAUCACGUUGCCCUCGGAGGGCCCGGCGAACCCCCGGCCGUACAGCCGGAGGAACCCGAGCGCCUGCGCGCGCGGCUCGCCCAGCUCCAUGGUGCCCUCCAGCAUGCCGGCCACCACCGCCAUGCUCGGCCGCGUGUGCGGGUCCUCGUGCAGGCAGCACAGCGCCACCUUCACCAUCCUCUCCACCUCCUUGCCCACCACCCGCCCCUCCAGCCGCGGGUCGGCCAGCUCCGCGUACCGCCCGCCCUCGUGCCCCUCCAGCGCCACCAGCGGGAAGUAGUCGUUCCUCCCGCUGCGCGACGAGCUUCCCGCCGUGCCGUUCGAGGAGUUGGAGUCCUCGCCGCCGCCGUCGCUCACGUGCUCGCUGCGGUUCUUGCGGCCGUGCACCAGCUCCAGGAGCACCAUGCCGAAGCCGUACACGUCCGUGCGGUCCGUGAUGGCCGUGUUGGUCAGCCACUCCGGCGCCAGGUACCCGCGCGUGCCCCGCAUCGUCGUGAACAGCCCGGACUGCUCCGGCGUCAGGAACUUGGCGAGCCCGAAGUCGGCGAUCUUCACCUGCCCGCCGUCGGCGAGCAGGAUGUUCUCCGGCUUCACGUCGCAGUGGAUGAUCCUCUGGUUGCAGCCGAAGUGGAGGUAGGCGAGCCCCCUCGCGGCGCCGAUGGCGAUGUCCACCCGCUCCUUCCACUCGAGCAGAGGCCCCGCCGGCCGGAACAGGGGCCGGUCGAGGGAGCCGCGGUUCAUGUACUCGUACACCAGCAGGCGGCGGUGGCCCUCGGUGCAGAACCCCCGGAGGCGGACCAGGUUGACGUGGUGGAUGUUGCCGAUGACGGCGAUCUCCGUCAUGAACUCGCGCUUCCCCUGCGUUCCCACGCCUUCGAUCUUCUUCACGGCCACCAGCGAGCCGUCCGAGAGCUCGCCCUUGUACACGGCCCCGAACCCGCCGGCGCCAAUCUUGGUGCGGUAGCUGUUGGUCAUGGCCUCGAUCUCGUCGUGCGUGAACCUGGUGGGGAGGCCGGGGAUGACGAUGUCGUCAUCGCCGUCGUCGUCGUUGUCCAGAUCGCGCACAAGGUGCGCCGAGGCUGA